RNAcentral lists this ribosomal RNA (253 nucleotides) under uncultured bacterium. RNAcentral describes it as "partial 16S ribosomal RNA". It matches the Rfam family "Bacterial small subunit ribosomal RNA", at positions 524 to 776 of the family's 1533-position model. The record is from RNAcentral.
UACGAAGGGGGCUAGCGUUGCUCGGAAUUACUGGGCGUAAAGGGCGCGCAGGCGGUCUUGAAAGUCAGGCGUGAAAGCCCCGGGCUUAACCUGGGAAUUGCGCUUGAUACUCUGAGACUGGAGUACGGGAGAGGAGAGUGGAAUUCCCAGUGUAGAGGUGAAAUUCGUAGAUAUUGGGAAGAACACCAGUGGCGAAGGCGGCUCUCUGGACCGUAACUGACGCUGAGGCGCGAAAGCGUGGGGAGCAAACAGG